This 212-nucleotide ribosomal RNA is filed under the name uncultured Bradyrhizobium sp. RNAcentral's name for it is "partial 16S ribosomal RNA". It matches the Rfam family "Bacterial small subunit ribosomal RNA", at positions 29 to 266 of the family's 1533-position model. Lineage: Bacteria; Pseudomonadati; Pseudomonadota; Alphaproteobacteria; Hyphomicrobiales; Nitrobacteraceae. The record is from RNAcentral.
AGCGAACGCUGGCGGCAGGCUUAACACAUGCAAGUCGAGCGGGCGUAGCAAUACGUCAGCGGCAGACGGGUGAGUAACGCGUGGGAACGUACCUUUUGGUUCGGAACAACACAGGGAAACUUGUGCUAAUACCGGAUAAGCCCUUACGGGGAAAGAUUUAUCGCCGAAAGAUCGGCCCGCGUCUGAUUAGCUAGUUGGUGAGGUAAUGGCUC